Molecule: ribosomal RNA, 439 nt
Filed under: uncultured bacterium
Lineage: Bacteria
Description: partial 16S ribosomal RNA
Rfam family: Bacterial small subunit ribosomal RNA
Source: RNAcentral
CUACGGGCCGCAGCAGUGGGGAAUCUUAGACAAUGGGCGCAAGCCUGAUCUAGCCAUGCCGCGUGAGUGAUGAAGGCCUUAGGGUCGUAAAGCUCUUUCGCUGGGGAAGAUAAUGACGGUACCCAGUAAAGAAACCCCGGCUAACUCCGUGCCAGCAGCCGCGGUAAUACGGAGGGGGUGAGCGUUGUUCGGAAUUACUGGGCGUAAAGCGCGCGUAGGCGGACUGUUAAGUCGGGGGUGAAAUCCCGGGGCUCAACCCCGGAACGGCCUUCGAUACUGGCAGUCUGGAGUUCGAGAGAGGUGAGUGGAAUUCCGAGUGUAGAGGUGAAAUUCGUAGAUAUUCGGAGGAACACCAGUGGCGAAGGCGGCUCACUGGCUCGAUACUGACGCUGAGGUGCGAAAGUGUGGGGAGCAAACAGGAUUAGAUACCCUAGUAGUC